AGCCAUGCAUUAAGCACAUAGCGAACUAUUCUUUCGCCUUUUACUAAAGAAUACCGUGUGUGUGAUGCAAAUAGUGGCAUACGCUAAUUUUUAGAGGGGUUCUCUUUGUUGAGAUCC
Small nuclear RNA from Solanum dulcamara, 117 nucleotides. RefSeq annotates it as U5 spliceosomal RNA. The record is from RefSeq and is a predicted model, not a curated record. NCBI's taxonomy places the organism in Eukaryota, Viridiplantae, Streptophyta, Magnoliopsida, Solanales, Solanaceae. The transcript has a single exon.